Molecule: long non-coding RNA, 529 nt
Organism: Serinus canaria (Common canary)
Lineage: Eukaryota; Metazoa; Chordata; Aves; Passeriformes; Fringillidae
Exons: 3
Source: RefSeq, a predicted model, not a curated record
ACAGCAAAAUCCUACAGGAGCAUCUCCCAGGUGGGGUGAUGCUUACCUGAACAGACCCUGCUGUGCUCAGCUCCUCAGAGAACAGAGCAGAUGGAAAAGUCUGCACUGGUACAGUCCCAAGUAGCAACUUCAGAAGUGAUAAUAAUCACCUGUCAAAAAUGCAGAUCAGACUGGAGAAGAAAUAAGGGUUAAAAGGAAAAGCAUCACAGGCUCUAAUCUACUAGGGAAAGCUGAAGUGGAGGAAAGAGGGCAAACAUAAGAGCUUUGAAGAAAUGAGGAAAUAAAUAUAUGGAAUUCAAGUCUCUGUUUAAUUAAAAAGCUGAAGAAAAUGUAUCAUGGUGUCUUUGAAUGAGCUCUGACUGCAAAGACCACAGGCACCAGCAGCUGCAUGUGUGUGACUCCAGAGAUGCUGUGCUAGCACAUAACCUAUUUAUUCUUGCAACUCUGUGCAACAGCAGAUGAUAAUCCUAAUAUUAAAUUAUCCUAAUAGUAACCUUAACACAUAUACACAUAGAACAGCUUUCAAAAG